This 468-nucleotide ribosomal RNA is filed under the name uncultured bacterium. RNAcentral describes it as "partial 16S ribosomal RNA". It matches the Rfam family "Bacterial small subunit ribosomal RNA", at positions 28 to 507 of the family's 1533-position model. The record is from RNAcentral.
GACGAACGCUGGCGGCGUGCUUAACACAUGCAAGUCGAACGGAAAGGCCCUGCUUUUGUGGGGUGCUCGAGUGGCGAACGGGUGAGUAACACGUGAGUAACCUGCCCUUGACUUUGGGAUAACUUCAGGAAACUGGGGCUAAUACCGGAUAGGAGCUCCUGCUGCAUGGUGGGGGUUGGAAAGUUUCGGCGGUUGGGGAUGGACUCGCGGCUUAUCAGCUUGUUGGUGGGGUAGUGGCUUACCAAGGCUUUGACGGGUAGCCGGCCUGAGAGGGUGACCGGCCACAUUGGGACUGAGAGACGGCCCAGACUCCUACGGGAGGCAGCAGUGGGGAAUAUUGCACAAUGGGCGGAAGCCUGAUGCAGCAACGCCGCGUGCGGGAUGACGGCCUUCGGGUUGUAAACCGCUUUCGCCUGUGACGAAGCGUGAGUGACGGUAAUGGGUAAGGAAGCACCGGCUAACUACGUG